CAGGUAGCUUGNCUUCCUCUGNGGAUGCACGCAGAUGCGCGCGACGGGGUUGUAGNUAAUGNUCCUGGGAAACUGCCCGAUGGAGGGGGAUAACUACUGGAAACGGUAGCUAAUACCGCAUAACGUCGCAAGACCAAAGUGGGGGACCUUCGGGCCUCACACCAUCGGAUGUGCCCAGAUGGGAUUAGCUAGUAGGUGGGGUAAUGGCUCACCUAGGCGACGAUCCCUAGCUGGUCUGAGAGGAUGACCAGCCACACUGGAACUGAGACACGGUCCAGACUCCUACGGGAGGCAGCAGUGGGGAAUAUUGCACAAUGGGCGCAAGCCUGAUGCAGCCAUGCCGCGUGUAUGAAGAAGGCCUUCGGGUUGUAAAGUACUUUCAGCGGGGAGGAAGGCGGUGAGGUUAAUAACCUUACCGAUUGACGUUACCCGCAGAAGAAGCACCGGCUAACUCCGUGCCAGCAGCCGCGGUAAUACGGAGGGUGCAAGCGUUAAUCGGAAUUACUGGGCGUAAAGCGCACGCAGGCGGUCUGUCAAGUCGGAUGUGAAAUCCCCGGGCUUAACCUGGGAACUGCAUUCGAAACUGGCAGGCUAGAGUCUUGUAGAGGGGGGUAGAAUUCCAGGUGUAGCGGUGAAAUGCGUAGAGAUCUGGAGGAAUACCCGGUGGCGAAGGCGGCCCCCUGGACAAAGACUGACGCUCAGGUGCGAAAGCGU
This 714-nucleotide ribosomal RNA is filed under the name bacterium EAB-4IL2.01. RNAcentral's name for it is "bacterial SSU rRNA". It matches the Rfam family "Bacterial small subunit ribosomal RNA", at positions 63 to 762 of the family's 1533-position model. The record is from RNAcentral.